This 762-nucleotide ribosomal RNA is filed under the name uncultured bacterium. Its description in RNAcentral is "bacterial SSU rRNA". It matches the Rfam family "Bacterial small subunit ribosomal RNA", at positions 35 to 825 of the family's 1533-position model. The record is from RNAcentral.
GCUGGCGGCAGGCCUAACACAUGCAAGUCGAACGGAGUUAUAUUGUAGCUUGCUAUGGUAUAACUUAGUGGCAGACGGGUGAGUAAUGUAUAGGAAUCUACCUAGUAGUACGGAAUAAUUGUUGGAAACGGCAACUAAUACCGUAUACGCCCUACGGGGGAAAAAUUUAUUGCUAUUAGAUGAGCCUAUAUUAGAUUAGCUAGUUGGUGGAGUAAUAGCCUACCAAGGCAAUGAUCUAUAGCUGAUCUGAGAGGAUGAUCAGCCACACUGGAACUGAGAUACGGUCCAGACUCCUACGGGAGGCAGCAGUGGGGAAUAUUGGACAAUGGGCGAAAGCCUGAUCCAGCCAUGCCGCAUGAGUGAAGAAGGCCUUUGGGUUGUAAAGCUCUUUUAGUGAGGAAGAUAAUGACGGUACUCACAGAAGAAGUCCUGGCUAACUCCGUGCCAGCAGCCGCGGUAAUACGGAGAGGGCUAGCGUUAUUCGGAAUUAUUGGGCGUAAAGGGCGCGUAGGCGGAUUAGUAAGUUAAAAGUGAAAUCCCAAGGCUCAACCUUGGAAUUGCUUUUAGAACUGCUAAUCUAGAGAUUGAAAGAGGAUAGAGGAAUUCCUAGUGUAGAGGUGAAAUUCGUAAAUAUUAGGAGGAACACCAGUGGCGAAGGCGUCUAUCUGGUUCAAAUCUGACGCUGAGGCGCGAAAGCGUGGGGAGCAAACAGGAUUAGAUACCCUGGUAGUCCACGCUGUAAACGAUGAAUGUUAAUAUGGG